RNAcentral lists this small nucleolar RNA (131 nucleotides) under Nelumbo nucifera (sacred lotus). RNAcentral's name for it is "Small nucleolar RNA snoR74". It matches the Rfam family "Small nucleolar RNA snoR74". The record is from Rfam by way of RNAcentral. Lineage: Eukaryota; Viridiplantae; Streptophyta; Magnoliopsida; Proteales; Nelumbonaceae.
AUAAAAGCAGGGUCCUGUUGUCCAUGUCAACAGAUCUCUCGUAAACUUAGGGAACUUAUUUACAUUGUUAUUGGGUGAACCUCUGUUUUGCAUCGUUCAUGACACAAGGUUCAGUAAAUGAUGUUACAUUA